Long non-coding RNA from Cebus imitator (Panamanian white-faced capuchin), 2981 nucleotides. RefSeq lists it as uncharacterized. The transcript has 3 exons. Lineage: Eukaryota; Metazoa; Chordata; Mammalia; Primates; Cebidae. The record is from RefSeq and is a predicted model, not a curated record.
CUCCUGGGUUCAAGCAAUCCUCCAGCCUUGACCUCCCAAAGUGUUGGGAUUACAGACGAGAGCUACUGCGCCCACCUCUUUAACUCUUUUUACCUUUUAAAAAUCAAAUAACAAGACUAUUGGAGAAGACCAUUUGCAAAGUUCAGAUAUUGUAACUGUGAUAAAAGGAUUUCUGUUCAUCCCAUUCUCUGCAGCCCCUGAUCUCCUCUGAUGAUCAGUUCACAGGCUGGGAGGACCAGAGAGCCUAGGAGACAGAAGGCCCUGUGCUUUAGAACAUCAGAGUAGAUAGAGGCAAAUGAUGCACUUGGCUCUGCCAUAGUCUUUACACAGAAAGGUGUAUGCAGAACCAGGCAUUUCCAUGAGAAAAGUUAAGGGCAAAUGUAAUCCCUCAAACACAGCCACACUGUUGAAGAUUUCCUUGCAAGCUCCAGAAGGUGUUUACCUGCUUUGAGAAAGAUAGGAAUCCUCCUGUGGCUAAGUGUUGGCACCGGAGGAUUUUAUAGUAGCAUUAGCAUGGCAAAAUAUUACCUGCAAUUUCCCAGGGGGUCUUAAGAAUGUAUACUGUGUUAAUUGCAAUGGUUCUUUUAUGAAUCUUGAAAGAAAGUAUGGUUUUCAGCAACAGGCAGAAGAGAAUUGUACUACAGCCCCCUGCAAAAGGGAUGUCAUCUGUUUAUUAGUCAUGACUCAGAACAAAGUCAUGUGAUAGGCAUUUCCUAACAAAUUGUAUGGGAAUAAAAAUGUUCUUUGAUCAGUUUGUUCCUGAAAGGUAUUUUAAUAGGUUUAGAUGACUUUUGUUGACCUUCUUACGACUAUGUAUUAUACAGUACUAUUGGAAUUCAAUUAGGCUGUCAAAAAUAUUUGUUAGAAGGGAGGAAGGAGACUGGCUUUGAUUUGGGGGCAGGGGAAGGAAGCUUAAACACAUUUUUAUUCUAAAAAUGGUAGAGAGAGGUAUAGAUUACUAAAGCAAUUGCCAUUUGUAUAUUUGUUCUUUAAUUCUCAAAAAUAGCUUAUAUCUAUGGAGAAGAAAAUAAUGAAAAGUAAUAUCUUUACUGUAUUUGAACUGUUUAGACCUUCAUAAUUUAUAUACACCUAUAUUCCCAGAAAGUUUUCAUACAUAAUAAACUCCUAAAUCAUACCUCAUUCUUUCUAAACAUGCAAAAUAUUCAGAAUCCUAUGGAAGGAAAAAUAUACCUUUAUUCUAAAAAUUAAUUCUGAGCACUGAAAAUAAAAAUAAAUGGUUUUCCAGUGUUGCAAGGACCAUGCUAACAAAAUGUAAUCAGUGACAAAUGACUGCUUCCUCGACAGCCAGAACACUGUGCUCUCCAUACGGCUUACUACUCUCUAAUAACGUGUUUAAUGCCACCAAUGUGUUUAAUACUGCUCUCCUUCUAAUGUGUUUGCCCUGCCAGAUUGUGAGCCUGAGAACAGAAACUUCCUGACUGGUUCACCAUUAUUCUCCCUGCACCUAGAACAGUGAUGAGCUUCUGGCAGAUGUUGGCUGGAUGGAUGGAUGGACUGUUACGUGGAUGAGGCUGUCCAGUGGGCAAAGUGCCCCGUGACUGAGAACGAGACAGAAGAUUAGGGCGUCUGAGGAUGAGAAGGAAGAGGAACCAUCAGAGCCACCUGGGAGUGGAGGUCUGCUCAGGUCAGCCUGCUUCACCAAGGUGGCAGCCAGUGGGAACAGGAAGGAUGAAGACAUCGGACACAUUUGGAGAAAGAAACCAAAGCUGGCAUGAGCGGAGUCCUUUCCAACGCUGUUCAAGGCAACGGGACGCAAACUCCUCCCAAGGGGUAAACCUUGGAAGAUACCAGAAGGGAAGCCGAGCCUCUAGAGAUUGCUGAAGAACCCAAACCACCCUGAAUGGAGCCGGAAGGUCUGUCAAUUCCCAGAGAGGGAGGAAAUGGUGAGCAAAUGGCAGCCGUUGCCUAGAGAAUUAGGGAAUGAAUAGCAAUGCUUUCUGGUAAAUUAACCGUAUUACGUUAUGCCAAGGAAAGCGAUAGGAAACCCCUGUUAAAAACUGAAUAAUAAUUUGCCCACAUCAUUUAUGCAAAAUGCAUAAUUCUCCUACUUCAGUGGACUUUAGUUUGAUUUAAAAGAUGAGCAGCUCUAGGACUAUUCACCAAAGCAUAAUUUGUAAGAUAAUUGGGAAGGGGAAGAGAAAUCAGACUGUAAUCAGCACAAUCUUUCGUAAGCCACUUCACCUUCCUCCUCUCACCUGCAAAUUUUGGAGAAUAUAUUUGUUUACACUUUCCUGAAGUUCUCUAAAUGAAAGUGCAAUGCAUUCAUCAUUGUUGUCGCUACCACUGAACCAUGACCUCACCGUGAGAGGGGGAGAAGUAAUGCUUCGUUCUAUUCAGUAUUUUUCUGCUCUAAUUCAGAUAAGUACUUGUUUUGAAUAGUGGGGGGAAAAUGGAAAUGUAGCAAAGCUAUACUUAAAACAGCAAGCCGAGAACAAAAGCAACACGCAUGCAGCCAAAGGAGACCUUGGAAGAUACACAGAUAAAACAAAAAGCUGUGCUUGGCUGGGAUUCUGCUUCAGAAUCAAAUGCAAAAUGGAGAAUGUUGUUCUAACUGUAAAGAUUUUGCAAUCUACAAUCAGUCGGAAUAAAAAGAUAUAAUGUAGUCCACCUUGACAGUCAGAAGCUGCACUGUUGCUGUGAAUUAUGGUGUUUGUUCAUGACUUAUGUAGAUUUUCAGACCCAGAGUAGUGGAAGGCAGGCUGGAAUUUGUCGGCGUACCAGUUGCCCUUCACUUCAACAGGGCACACCCAUGUCAGCCAAUGUUCGUAUCUCUUCCUCUCCUCCUUUUCCCUCCUCUUCACCCCUUGCUCCCCAAUCUCAUUAGAAUCAUGAAAUUUUUACUUAUGUAUUCAUUAAUUCUCUUCAUCCCCACAUCUCCACAAAGGAUCAUUAUCUGCUUAUUAAAUUCAGCCCUUACACAGUGUCUCACGCCUGUAAUUUCAGCUGUUUGGAAGGCUGAG